Molecule: ribosomal RNA, 255 nt
Filed under: uncultured bacterium
Lineage: Bacteria
Description: partial 16S ribosomal RNA
Rfam family: Bacterial small subunit ribosomal RNA
Source: RNAcentral
UGCUUCCUACGGGGGGCAGCAGUGGGGAAUAUUGGGCAAUGGGCGCAAGCCUGACCCAGCAACGCCGCGUGAAGGAAGAAGGCUUUCGGGUUGUAAACUUCUUUUCUCAGGGACGAAGAAAGUGACGGUACCUGAGGAAUAAGCCACGGCUAACUACGUGCCAGCAGCCGCGGUAAUACGUAGGUGGCAAGCGUUAUCCGGAUUUAUUGGGUGUAAAGGGCGUGUAGGCGAGAGCGCAAGUCAGAUUUGAAGACU